This 82-nucleotide transfer RNA is filed under the name Thioploca sp. Its description in RNAcentral is "tRNA-Tyr". It matches the Rfam family "tRNA". From Rfam's summary of the family: Transfer RNA (tRNA) molecules are approximately 80 nucleotides in length. Their secondary structure includes four short double-helical elements and three loops (D, anti-codon, and T loops). Lineage: Bacteria; Pseudomonadati; Pseudomonadota; Gammaproteobacteria; Thiotrichales; Thiotrichaceae. The record is from RNAcentral.
GGAGGGAUGUCCGAGUGGUUAAAGGAGGCAGACUGUAAAUCUGUUGGCUAUGCCUACGGAGGUUCGAAUCCUCCUCCCUCCA